RNAcentral lists this ribosomal RNA (451 nucleotides) under uncultured bacterium. Its description in RNAcentral is "partial 16S ribosomal RNA". It matches the Rfam family "Bacterial small subunit ribosomal RNA", at positions 30 to 523 of the family's 1533-position model. The record is from RNAcentral.
AUUGAACGCUGGCGGCAUGCCUAACACAUGCAAGUCGAGCGGGUGUAGCAAUACAUCAGCGGCAGACGGGUGAGUAACGCGUGGGAACGUACCUUUUGGUUCGGAACAACACAGGGAAACUUGUGCUAAUACCGGAUAAGCCCUUACGGGGAAAGAUUUAUCGCCGAAAGAUCGGCCCGCGUCUGAUUAGCUAGUUGGUGAGGUAAUGGCUCACCAAGGCGACGAUCAGUAGCUGGUCUGAGAGGAUGAUCAGCCACAUUGGGACUGAGACACGGCCCAAACUCCUACGGGAGGCAGCAGUGGGGAAUAUUGGACAAUGGGGGCAACCCUGAUCCAGCCAUGCCGCGUGAGUGAUGAAGGCCCUAGGGUUGUAAAGCUCUUUUGUGCGGGAAGAUAAUGACGGUACCGCAAGAAUAAGCCCCGGCUAACUUCGUGCCAGCCGCCGCGGUAA